GUCUUCUGUAGCUCAGUUGGUUAGAGCCCUGCACCAGAAUCGCAGAGCCACAGGUUCGAUUCCUGCCAGGGACC
Molecule: non-coding RNA, 74 nt
Organism: Paramuricea clavata
Lineage: Eukaryota; Metazoa; Cnidaria; Anthozoa; Malacalcyonacea; Plexauridae
Source: the annotation of a GenBank genome assembly